UACGUAGGGAGCAAGCGUUGUCCGGAAUCAUUGGGCGUAAAGCGCGCGUAGGUGGCCUCAUAAGUCCGCUGUGAAAGUCAAAGGCUCAACCUUUGAAAGCCGGUGGAUACUGUGGGGCUAGAGUACGGAAGAGGCGAGUGGAAUUCCUGGUGUAGCGGUGAAAUGCGCAGAUAUCAGGAGGAACACCGGUGGCGAAGGCGGGUCUCUGGGCCGAUAUUGACGCUGAGGAGCGAAAGCGUGGGGAGCGAACAGG
Molecule: ribosomal RNA, 253 nt
Filed under: uncultured bacterium
Lineage: Bacteria
Description: partial 16S ribosomal RNA
Rfam family: Bacterial small subunit ribosomal RNA
Source: RNAcentral